This 722-nucleotide long non-coding RNA is filed under the name Carica papaya (papaya). Its description in RNAcentral is "long non-coding RNA (CPAP_LNC012281)". Lineage: Eukaryota; Viridiplantae; Streptophyta; Magnoliopsida; Brassicales; Caricaceae. The record is from RNAcentral.
AUGGACUUGGGCUGCUUUGGCUUUGCAGGGGUUGACUUCUUUGUCUUCUUGGUCGCGACUUUCUUCUUCUUCGCUCCCUCGGAUUUUUUGACCGCCGUCCUCUUGCGCUCUGGAGGAGCGGUGGUUGUUUUCGCUUUAGCUUGUUUUGGUUUCUUCACUGUCGACUUCUUCGAGGUCUUGGUCAUGGUGGGGGUGCCCUUGUCCUUCUCGCCUGACUCAGAGAGCUUAUAAGAGGCUUUGAUCUUGAUGAGUUUGCCUCUGUUAGCACAAUUCUUUAGUUGCAGAGCCAACAUCUUCCUGAAAUUAGCAGGCAAAACCGCCUUGUGCUUCCCUUCCAUGUAUUUUGCUAUGGCGUACGGACUAGAACCGUUCUUCUCCUUCAAGGCCAAUAGUGCCUCCUUGAUCAUCUACAGUAGAAUAAACAUACACCGUCAAGAUCAAUCCCAUAACCGAUCAAUUUCAUCGUGAAAGCAUAGCUCGAAGGAGGAAAUUUGCAUAAAUAGAGAAGAAAUGGAUCAGGGAUGAAAGAAUACCUGAAAGUAAGGAGGAUGAGCAGCGGCUUUCGGCUGUCUAGGUUUCUUUUCCCUGGGAGCUUUAGGUUUUCUCUCCUUUACAGGCUUCUCCUCCGGCUUCGGCUCCUCCGCCGCCGGCUGCUCCUGCUGCUCAACUACUGGAACUUCGGCUUCUUCGGCAGCCAUUAUAGAUAAAAACUAUAUGAACAC